Molecule: ribosomal RNA, 494 nt
Filed under: uncultured bacterium
Lineage: Bacteria
Description: partial 16S ribosomal RNA
Rfam family: Bacterial small subunit ribosomal RNA
Source: RNAcentral
GACGAACGCUGGCGGCGUGCUUAACACAUGCAAGUCGAACGGAAAGGCCUGCUUUCCCUUGUGGAUUGCGGGUACUCGAGUGGCGAACGGGUGAGUAACACGUGAGUGAUCUGCCCCCAACUUGGGUAUAAGCCUGGGAAACUGGGUCUAAUUCCCGAUAGGACUGCAGGGUGGUGCCUGUGGUGGAAGACGAUUUUCUAGUGGUUGGGGAUGAGCUCGCGGCCUAUCAGCUUGUUGGUGGGGUAAUGGCCUACCAAGGCGGCGACGGGUAGCCGGCCGGAGAGGGUGGACGGCCACAUUGGGACUGGGACACGGCCCAGACUCCUACGGGAAGCAGCAGUGGGGAAUAUUGCACAAUGGGCGGAAGCCUGAAGCAGCGACGCCGCGUGGGGGAUGACGGCCUUCGGGUUGUAAGCUCCUUUCGACCGCGAGGAAGCCACCUGGUUGGAAGGGUGGUGACGGUAGUGGUAGAAGAAGCACCGGCUAACUACGUG